CCUACGGGGUGCUGCAGUGAGGAAUAUUGGUCAAUGGGCUUACGCCUGAACCAGCCAAGUCGCGUGAGGGAAGACUGCCCUAUGGGUUGUAAACCUCUUUUGUCAGGGAGCAAUUGGCGCUACGUGUAGCGUUAUCGAGAGUACCUGAAGAAAAAGCAUCGGCUAACUCCGUGCCAGCAGCCGCGGUAAUACGGAGGAUGCGAGCGUUAUCCGGAUUUAUUGGGUUUAAAGGGUGCGUAGGCGGAAUGCCAAGUCAGCGGUAAAAUCGCGGGGCUCAACCUCGCUCCGCCGUUGAAACUGGCGGUCUUGAGUGGGCGAGAAGUAUGCGGAAUGCGUGGUGUAGCGGUGAAAUGCAUAGAUAUCACGCAGAACUCCGAUUGCGAAGGCAGCAUACCGGCGCCCAACUGACGCUGAAGCACGAAAGCGUGGGUAUCGAACAGGAUUAGAUACCCUUGUAGUC
This 460-nucleotide ribosomal RNA is filed under the name uncultured bacterium. RNAcentral's name for it is "partial 16S ribosomal RNA". It matches the Rfam family "Bacterial small subunit ribosomal RNA", at positions 338 to 795 of the family's 1533-position model. The record is from RNAcentral.